CACGUAGGGUGCGAGCGUUGUCCGGAAUUAUUGGGCGUAAAGAGCUCGUAGGCGGUGUGUCGCGUCGGCCGUGAAAACCUGCAGCUUAACUGUGGGCUUGCGGUCGAUACGGGCAUCACUGGAGUUCGGCAGGGGAGACUGGAAUUCCUGGUGUAGCGGUGAAAUGCGUAGAUAUCGAGAGGAACACCUGCGGCGAAGGCGGGCUGCUGGGCUGACACUGACGCUGACAGCGCGAAAGCUAGGGGAGCGAACGGG
RNAcentral lists this ribosomal RNA (255 nucleotides) under uncultured bacterium. RNAcentral describes it as "partial 16S ribosomal RNA". It matches the Rfam family "Bacterial small subunit ribosomal RNA", at positions 524 to 776 of the family's 1533-position model. The record is from RNAcentral.